ACGGCAGAAGCCCUGCUCAAGGCUUUCCCCGCCGUCCCUCAAAUGGAUUUCAGCACCUCCAGAAGCAAAAUGGCAAGAAGGAGAGAGAAGAUGUGGCUCAGCACAUCCUGGAGGCCUCUGUCGUUGACGAGGAAAAUUCAUGCGCUGUGUGCCACCUUUAAGCCUCCCGGACCAGGGGCGGCCAUUAUACAGUGGACACAGUGUGAUCGCUGUGACAGGAGCUUCCAUGGAUCCUGUGUGUCAGUGGACGGUGACGCCUUAGACAACGCAAAGGACAAGACUUGGGCAGCCAGUUAUGUCCAGAAGACGAAGUUCAAGGACACACACAGGACAGCUAAAGCAGAGGCUGGGGGACACUC
Long non-coding RNA from Salarias fasciatus (jewelled blenny), 359 nucleotides. RefSeq lists it as uncharacterized. Lineage: Eukaryota; Metazoa; Chordata; Actinopteri; Blenniiformes; Blenniidae. The record is from RefSeq and is a predicted model, not a curated record. The transcript is spliced from 3 exons.